This 468-nucleotide ribosomal RNA is filed under the name uncultured bacterium. RNAcentral's name for it is "partial 16S ribosomal RNA". It matches the Rfam family "Bacterial small subunit ribosomal RNA", at positions 28 to 507 of the family's 1533-position model. The record is from RNAcentral.
GACGAACGCUGGCGGCGUGCUUAACACAUGCAAGUCGAACGGAAAGGCCCUGCUUUUGUGGGGUGCUCGAGUGGCGAACGGGUGAGUAACACGUGAGUAACCUGCCCUUGACUUUGGGAUAACUUCAGGAAACUGGGGCUCAUACCGGAUAGGAGCUCCUGCUGCAUGUUGGGGGUUGGAAAGUUUCGGCGGUUGGGGAUGGACUCGCGGCUUAUCAGCUUGUUGGUGGGGUAGUGGCUGACCAAGGCUUUGACGGGUAGCCGGCAUGAGAGGGUGACCGGCCACAUGGGGACUGAGAGACGGCCCAGACGCCUACGGGAGGCAGCAGGGGGGAAUAUUGCACAAUGGGCGGAAGCCUGAUGCAGCAACGCCGCGUGCGUGAUGACGGCCUUCGGGUGGUAAACCGCUUUCGCCGGUGACGAAGCGUGAGUGACGGUAAUGGGUAAAGAAGCACCGGCUAACUACGUG